CUCCGGGUAAACCGGAGCUAAUACCGGAUAACAUUUUCUCUUGCAUAAGAGAAAAUUGAAAGAUGGUUUCGGCUAUCACUUACAGAUGGGCCCGCGGUGCAUUAGCUAGUUGGUGAGGUAACGGCUCACCAAGGCAACGAUGCAUAGCCGACCUGAGAGGGUGAUCGGCCACACUGGGACUGAGACACGGCCCAGACUCCUACGGGAGGCAGCAGUAGGGAAUCUUCCGCAAUGGACGAAAGUCUGACGGAGCAACGCCGCGUGAGUGAUGAAGGCUUUCGGGUCGUAAAACUCUGUUGUUAGGGAAGAACAAGUACAAGAGUAACUGCUUGUACCUUGACGGUACCUAACCAGAAAGCCACGGCUAACUACGUGCCAGCAGCCGCGGUAAUACGUAGGUGGCAAG
This 406-nucleotide ribosomal RNA is filed under the name marine bacterium SIMO-1596. RNAcentral's name for it is "bacterial SSU rRNA". It matches the Rfam family "Bacterial small subunit ribosomal RNA", at positions 147 to 538 of the family's 1533-position model. Lineage: Bacteria; Bacillati; Bacillota; Bacilli; Caryophanales. The record is from RNAcentral.